This is a long non-coding RNA of Xiphophorus couchianus (Monterrey platyfish), 448 nucleotides long. RefSeq lists it as uncharacterized. The transcript is spliced from 3 exons. Lineage: Eukaryota; Metazoa; Chordata; Actinopteri; Cyprinodontiformes; Poeciliidae. The record is from RefSeq and is a predicted model, not a curated record.
AAAGAUUUGUGAUCUGCAGAUUUUUUUUAAAGAAAUAAACAGUGUUGGUAACAUCAUCAAAAUGUUUUACAGUGUUUGCUCCUGGACUGUUUGCCAGAUCACCAGAAGUUUAACAUGGCUGUGACCAGUCUUCAUCAACUCCCAUUCCAACACCUCUCAGCUACCUUUUGAGGAUAAAAUACACACAGCAGACAGUUCACUACCUCACUGCCAAACUACCCUGAAGAGAAGUUUGUUGUCUACUUGACCCUGCUCACGGACAUGAUUGACAGCUUGCUGAGUUCUCUCACCUGCCUCCAGGUGAUCACAAAGACAGGUGACCUGUCUACCAUAGACCGCCAUUUCGACCUGUGAUUUUACAAGGACAUCUCAAAGUGACAGUGUGGAAGAAAAAUCUGUCCACAUAAUGUAAUGACAAGAAAAGAAAAGAGAAUAAAAGUAACAGCAG